UACGUAGGUGGCAAGCGUUGUCCGGAAUUAUUGGGCGUAAAGGGCGUGUAGGUGGAUUUUUAAGUCGUGUGUCUAAGUGCGGUGCUCAACGCCGUAUGGGCGCAGGAAACUGGAGAUCUUGAGUGCAGGAGAGGAAAGUGGAAUUCCCAGUGUAGCGGUGAAAUGCGUAGAUAUUGGGAGGAACACCAGUGGCGAAGGCGACUUUCUGGACUGUGUCUGACACUGAGGCGCGAAAGCUAGGGGAGCGAACGGG
Molecule: ribosomal RNA, 253 nt
Filed under: uncultured bacterium
Lineage: Bacteria
Description: partial 16S ribosomal RNA
Rfam family: Bacterial small subunit ribosomal RNA
Source: RNAcentral